GAUGAACGCUGGCGGCGUGCCUAAUACAUGCAAGUCGAGCGAACGGGCGAGAAGCUUGCUUCUCUGAUGUUAGCGGCGGACGGGUGAGUAACACGUGGAUAACCUACCUAUAAGACUGGGAUAACUUCGGGAAACCGGAGCUAAUACCGGAUGAUAUUUUGAACCGCAUGGUUCAAAAGUGAAAGACGGUCUUGCUGUCACUUAUAGAUGGAUCCGCGCUGCAUUAGCUAGUUGGUAAGGUAACGGCUUACCAAGGCAACGAUGCAUAGCCGACCUGAGAGGGGGAUCGGCCACACUGGAACUGAGACACGGUCCAGACUCCUACGGGAGGCAGCAGUAGGGAAUCUUCCGCAAAGGGCGAAAGCCUGACGGAGCAACGCCGCGUGAGUGAUGAAGGUCUUCGGAUCGUAAAACUCUGUUAUUAGGGAAGAACAUAUGUGUAAGUAACUGUGCACAUCUUGACGGUACCUAAUCAGAAAGCCACGGCUAACUACGUG
Molecule: ribosomal RNA, 497 nt
Filed under: uncultured bacterium
Lineage: Bacteria
Description: partial 16S ribosomal RNA
Rfam family: Bacterial small subunit ribosomal RNA
Source: RNAcentral